CCUGUAAUUCCAGCUACUUGGGAGGCUGAGGCAGGAGAAUCGCUGGAACCUGAAAGACAGAGAUUGCAGCGAGCCGACAUCACACCACUGCACUCCAACUGGGGCGACAGAGCGAGACUCCAUCUCAAAAAAAAGAAAAAAGAAUGGGACACACUACUCCUUAGGCAACAGUGUUGGGUUCAUGUUUAUAGAUGAUGGAAUGAAGCAGCGGGGGACAACUUCUGGCUGGAGUGGCUUGGAGGCUGGAGCAGCUGAGCUUUAACAAGCAUCAGAGGUCAGAAUUACUUGGCUAGAUCAAGAAGCCACACAGCAUCAUAAUGCCGCUGGCACAUCUCCCAGAACAGGGAUUCUGGGGCCAACAGUGAAUAAACCUGGUAAAAGGACACGAAUUCUGAGGUAAGCCCCCAACCUACUUUCCAGACUUCUCUCUGAAUCAUAUUAUCAAUACAUAUGUAGACGACACUCUGUUCCUCACAUUUCAUUUCCUCCCAGACACAAGCCACCCAGCACACUUCACCAUAAGACUGUCCAAUUUGGAAUAGAUCUAGUCAAAUGAACGCUAUUAUAGCUCCCUACACUUUAAACACAUCCUUACGCAACUCUAAUACAGUUUGUUUGACACAUCACCAGGCCCUGAUGAAGGUGCUC
This 648-nucleotide long non-coding RNA is filed under the name Homo sapiens (human). Its description in RNAcentral is "non-protein coding lnc-SNX20-5:4". Lineage: Eukaryota; Metazoa; Chordata; Mammalia; Primates; Hominidae. The record is from RNAcentral.